Thalassophryne amazonica is the source of this 94-nucleotide long non-coding RNA. RefSeq lists it as uncharacterized. The record is from RefSeq and is a predicted model, not a curated record. Lineage: Eukaryota; Metazoa; Chordata; Actinopteri; Batrachoidiformes; Batrachoididae. The transcript has 2 exons.
CAAAUUUUGAGUCCACAGUGAAACAGGAAAUGCGGGUGUGCACCUUGACAGGUCUUGAGGUAAGUCAGUGACUAUUUAGCAUGUAAAUUACAUG